RNAcentral lists this long non-coding RNA (4921 nucleotides) under Monomorium pharaonis (pharaoh ant). Its description in RNAcentral is "uncharacterized LOC118645252". Lineage: Eukaryota; Metazoa; Arthropoda; Insecta; Hymenoptera; Formicidae. The record is from RNAcentral.
CACCCACCGGAAACUUUUUAAACUUCCCAAGGAUCCUCUUAAAUUUCCGACCCUUACAUGACGUUUAAGAAUGCGCAAUUAACUAGAUACGCAGUUAUAAAAGGGAGACAUAUCUUACGCGUUUUUCUUUUUUCUCGUUUACAAAGUAAAACAAACGAAAACUCUAGUGUUUGUGUGCAAAACAUUUCGUUCUUACAUUUAUUUUUUAAUUCUGUCUAUUUUGAAUCAGGUCAGGUCACAGUUUUCAUGAAUGCAGGAAAAUCAAUAAUAUUUUCUAAUCAUAUCUGUCGAACAUUAAUAAUUAAAUUUAAUCUCAUAUUACAUUUAGCAAGUGAUACUAUCGAUCGUAUCCUUGUGUUACACGGUUUCUGAACCAUGUACCAAGAUGUCGCGACGAUGCAGCUGAUGCUCCUCCAAGUGCGCGAAAAUAAAGAAGCAUCAUAUGCAGUAAACAUUAAUUGACAAUUUGAAUUGUAAAAUUUUCAGCUAGUAUACGCUGCUUUUGUAUUUAUUGACGAAAAGCUACUUAAUAAUUGUUUUGCAUACAUACAUAUAUAUGUGAUGAUCGUUCUUCAGUAUCAACUUUAAUUGAAUGUUUAGACUAAUUGAAGCACAAGUUCUGUAGAAUAUUAAAAAAGUCCUUUAUAUCAUAAAUUUUAGAAGAACAAUGAUUGUUUUCUGACGAAUGGCUGGAGGGAACUUUUCUUAAAAAUUUCUAAAUUAACUAUCGAACUGUACAAAAAAUAAUUGUUGAAUUAAAUAAAGAACCGUAUUAAUUAAUAUCAUAAGGGGACCAUAAUAAUAAAUCUAAUAAGAAAGUUUUAACGAAAGAAUCAAUGGAUAUUUUCGGAUUUCGAGAAAUACAAGUUUGCUAUUCAUAUUUAUGUGCCAAAUUUAUUAAUAAUAAUUGGUUUUACAAUUUAGUUCAUUCACAGGGUUGAUAUAUUCGCAAUCAAUACCACGAGAUAUCGCGUGACAAAAAUACGGAAGACGUUAAAGGAACGCGUAUUUUUUCGCGAGGCGCCAAUUAACUGUGUUACUCGCAACCUAUUACCUCUGUCACACGAACUGCAUUCUCUUCUCGCAUUUGCACGGCGUGGCUGGAAUAACCAGGCGCAUAAAAAAGCACGAGGCGGGGAAAUAUAGCCAAAUGGUACGGUAGUACGUACCCCUUCUCGAAGUGGAAACGUCGGGCCCUGAUCGAACUCACGGCCCUCAUUUGCAUACAAUCGCCCUUGCAUUGGAUCUCGCGCACUCUGGCCGCGUGCAUACAUUCUCCUCCUCUUCCACUUCUUGUAUUUUUUUUUCUUCUUUCUCUUUUCCUCUUAAUGGCAGGCAGCGUGCACGCUAAUUCAUUGUAUAUUUAAUAUCCAGGCAUCUGCGCGCGGCGCGCCGGUGUGCGGUGUUGUUUUUGCUCGACGAGGCACGAAAAGGAGAAAAUGCGUCGCAGCGCAUCGAGCCAGAGGGAAAGGGCAAAUGCGAGGGCGGCAAGAGGGCGAGAAGGGUUGUGCAGGAGGGCGGGAACGGGGACGCGCCGGGGAGAGAGAGAGAGAGAGAGAGAGAGAGAGAGAGAGGAAGAGAGAGACAAUCGCGGACAUGGCGCGACGCGUCAUUGCACGUGCACGUGCAUUGAUACCGAUAUUUAUGCCCGCCAGUUAAUCAUGUCAAAGUCGUUUGAUUUGUCGUUGGCUUUUAUGGAGGGGAAUUAAAACGUUCAUUUCGCCACAGACACUCGCCAACAGUGACUGUCCUGCUGGUGCCGCUACUGGCCGUAUGAGUUAUUCUGUCGGCAGCCUUCAGGCCGAGCGGUGGGGAUGAGCUUUUUGUAAAAUUAGCGUGCCUCGUUUACGCCGGCGAAUUUGCAUUUUUAACGCGAGCCAGCGUGUCGGCCGGCCUUUUUUUUUUACCCGCCACGGCAGAAUCGUCAAAUCGGACACGCUGUUGACGGACCGUAUAAAUAGCAAAUCUGUAUUCCCUCGUGAUUUCAAUUGGCCAUGCGAUUUUGAACGCCGCAUUUACGCAGAAUACUUUCCGCAACGAAACUAUAACGAGGUCCAGAUAUUUCUAACCGUGGGACUGAGUAUAAAAUACAAAUAAUGUGUUCCAUAUGCCUAAAAUAGGACAUUUACAUUAAAAAUUGAGUUGCCGUCUCUAGCGUCCAUCAAUACCGGUGAAUAGUUUAUUCGCGUCGAUAUGCGAGAAUGUAUUGGAGAGUUUUUUGGAGUUCCCAUACACAGGAGAGAAACAUACGUUGUAGCUUUAUUCAAUCCAUUUUGCUCGGCAAAGUUCUUUCUCCUUGUCUAAAAAAAGAUCGAGCGAAGAGAAACGCUUUGAUGAAAGGCUCACGUACGAGCAGUAUCGUUGCAUGGACCUUGUAAUAUACAUAAAGCUUUAUUGCUUGCCAUCCGUGGAAACUUCGCUGAUUGUAUUGCAGGACGAUAACCGUAUCUGUCGUUCCCGCAAUUCUCGAAGCGCACUUGAUCCAUCCCCGUCUUUGACUCCUCUACUUUUAUCCUCCUUUCACUUGCUUCUCUAUUCUACCGGCAUGCCACGAUACUGCGAUUUGUAAUUUGAUGUUACGAUAAAAAUAGUAUGCCCUCUGAAAUUUAUACGCAUUCGCUGUGUAACACAAUUUUAUUUUAUUUUCACAAAAUGUGUGUGUGUUUUUUUUUUUUUUUUUUUUUUUUUAAAUUAAAGUAAAAGUGUUAGUUUGUAAGCUUGCAAUUUUUUUUAUUUUAGAUUUCUUUGGUGGUAAUCGUAUAGCAAUCGUAUUAACACGUUUCUUCAGUGUCGUGGUAUUGCCUUCCGUGCGAGACAUGACUGUUAUAUUUGUGAAAAAACAAAUUGCAUAAUUAUUUCAAAAUUCCCAAAAAUAUUAUUAUAGAAAAAAAUCUAAAUUGCAAUAUAGAAUAAGGUAAAAAUAUUUCAAUAAAUAUUUAUUCAAUAAAACUUUAACAAAAAUAUAACAAAAUAAACAACACACAAAACAUACACGUUUAUUAUUAUAUUAUAUGAUACAAAUCAUGUAAAAUAGAUUCGGCGCGGAAAAAGUUAACAUAGAAUAAAUAAGAAUAGAUAUUUACACUUCGUCAGAAAUCUCGUUGAUAAGUCGAAACUAGAGAAAGAGAAGAGAGAGAGGGAGGAAGAAGAGAGAGUUUGUGAAGCCCGAAUUUUCUUAUUCCCUCCGGUUUGAAACAGGAGUUGAAGCUACUCAACUAAUUAAUUGACGUCCCUAGCCUUUGUAGACGAGAUGUCAGGCACCAAAGACUGACGCCGCGAGGCUCGCGUUUGUAUCUGCUUUUGUGUUUACUCUGCCUUUGUCUUAUAGAUCAUACUCCCACUAUAAGCAUACACAACUUAGCUUGCAGGAACUGAAAACUAAUCUCACUGAUCUGUCCUUUCAAUAUCCCUCAUCUUAUGAUUUCACUAAAUUUUGAUAAAUUGCAUUUUUGAAACAGAUACAGAGAAAUACGUGUUAUGUGUUGGCUUUGUCACGAUUCUAAUAUCACGGACAAAAAGUUAUUUUUUCGUUGUGUAUAUUUUAGCUUAAAUUCAUUAAAAUUAUUUAAUUUUAUUAAAAUUAUGCCAAUUUCAAUGCUUGCCACGAGUUGUAUUUAAAAUUGAAUGUCUGUGUGUAACCAAAAUAAUUUUAAAACAAUUUAAAAAUAAUUCUAUAAUGUCUGUAUGUGUGCGCCAGAGAAAAUUUUGAGAUAUUAUUUAAAGCCAUACAGGAUAAAGUGAUGUAACUCAGUUAUACAGGCAAUUUGGUGAUAAUUGCAUUUACGACUAUGGGCGCAUGGUCUGUAAUCUAUUUAUUAUCGUCGUUUCAAAACUCAUCCUUCAACGUAAUAUAUAUUAUAUCAUCGAUAUUUUGAUGUUGAGCACAUUCGAUUCAUAAUGUUAGUGAAGUUAUAAUUCCAUCUCUUUUUUUCAUGAAAUAUAUAAAAUGAAGGAGAUAAAUAGAACAUGCGAAUAAUAUAAAAAUAACUUAGAGAAAAAAAACAGGGCUCGUAAACCUCGUAAGAUGUUGUGUGCGCUAACAGUUUUAAUGAAUAAUAUAAGCAAAGACAAUCACACAUCUAACAUACAGACCAUGAAUGUGGUCAUUUCCAAUGUAUUAAAAAUUACGAGAACAACUUCUUUUUUAGUUCGCUUGUUAUAAUUCAUUAUGGACGGAUUUUUUCCAUAUCGAUUUAAGCUAUUGUUGUUUACAUAAAAGCUUAAAUGUGUAGAUCUCUUUUACUGAAUAAGACAAAAAGAUUGUGUUGCAAGACGUAUGUACAGAUAAAGUUGACAUCGAGAAUGCUAUAAAUAAAUUAACGUGUAACUGAACAUUACAAAUUAGAAAUUAAAACUUACAGAAACUUUUUGUCUUCAGAUAAUAGUCGAACACCAAGACAGUUAAUUCAACCAGUCAUAAAAAUAUUCUGUAGUUGAAGUUUAAAUUUUAGACAAUUUUAAGUGAUAAAAGAUAUAUAUACAGAUGUCCUACUAUUAAAUUCUAUGUGCAGUUAUUACCUGAGAAACUAAAAAGUUUAUAUAUGUAACUCUACGAUUAAGUGAUACACAAUCUUUUAACAUGCGUGGUUAAGUGAAUGUCGAGAAUAUCGAAGUACUUGAUCUUUGUGAGCUGUGAAACUGUGUGGGGAUGAAAUAACUUUUGCUGAUUGGAUUGACAGGAGAUAAAUCAGUUUUAAGGAGUGGGGAGACGAUCUAAGAUGGAAAGAUAUGCAUCAGAAAGAGGUAUCGUGUUUAUUCAGUUCCUUCUUUUGUUUUUUUUUAUGUAAAUCAUUCUGGAUGUUAAUUUUUUCUAAUAAUAAGGUUCAAUUAACACCUGAACUUUGUUCCAAUUUAUAUUGUGAUCCUCUUCCAUACAAUGACUCACGAGAACACUUGAGAAUAUAUAUAUUUUUUUACAUUU